CCCUGCCUUGGUCUUACCAUCAUCACCAUCCUAUAUCUUGGUUUCUCUUUGUUUCACCCUGUGGCCAUCACAAUCAGGGGUGAUUCCAAAGUCUCAGGUGGAGAAUGUGGACCCCUGUGUGUAUCUUCUAUUGAAGCCUGAAGAGGUGACAACAAUUGAUCUGCAUAUGUCUCCCACUGGCCCAUUCUGAUGCUGAAGUGUGGAGCAGCCAUGAAGUUUUCACCUCUCUCCCCAGCCCCACGUAAGCAUGCUGGUAACUAGAGGCUGGUUUUGAACAGAGCUCAUGUAAAGAGAAUUGUUUUAAUGCUUGCCUUAGUGCACAUGAUCCAUGACUGAGCACCUACACCAUAUUGAUGUGGUAUGCUAAUUAUUUUUACCCCAGAUGCUCUCCUUAAUGCUGCCGAAAGCCACAACAAGACCUUUAUGGCUUAAAUCCGCAGAGGGGAUAAGUGCUAUGAAAUAAACCAGAGAUGAGAUGAACAAUCAAUAA
This is a long non-coding RNA of Pogoniulus pusillus (Red-fronted tinkerbird), 490 nucleotides long. RefSeq lists it as uncharacterized. Lineage: Eukaryota; Metazoa; Chordata; Aves; Piciformes; Lybiidae. The record is from RefSeq and is a predicted model, not a curated record. The transcript has 2 exons.